UACGUAGGGUGCAAGCGUUAUCCGGAAUUAUUGGGCGUAAAGAGCUCGUAGGCGGUUUGUCGCGUCUGCUGUGAAAACUGGAGGCUCAACCUCCAGCCUGCAGUGGGUACGGGCAAACUAGAGUGCGGUAGGGGAGAUUGGAAUUCCUGGUGUAGCGGUGGAAUGCGCAGAUAUCAGGAGGAACACCUGCGGCGAAGGCGGGUAGCUGGGCCGACACUGACGCUGAGGCGCGAAAGCCAGGGGAGCGAACGGG
This 253-nucleotide ribosomal RNA is filed under the name uncultured bacterium. RNAcentral describes it as "partial 16S ribosomal RNA". It matches the Rfam family "Bacterial small subunit ribosomal RNA", at positions 524 to 776 of the family's 1533-position model. The record is from RNAcentral.